ACAUUAUAUAAAAGAAGCAUGAUUAAUAUUCCCUUUGAUAAGGAGAGAUGAGGUCCUAUUGACUUUGACAACAUAUUUACAUUUUAGAUAUUGCCACCUACAUUGUGGUACCCAACCAAGUUUUUCU
Gracilinanus agilis (Agile Gracile Mouse Opossum) is the source of this 127-nucleotide small nuclear RNA. The record is from RefSeq and is a predicted model, not a curated record. Lineage: Eukaryota; Metazoa; Chordata; Mammalia; Didelphimorphia; Didelphidae.